Strigops habroptila (Kakapo) is the source of this 861-nucleotide long non-coding RNA. RefSeq lists it as uncharacterized. NCBI's taxonomy places the organism in Eukaryota, Metazoa, Chordata, Aves, Psittaciformes, Psittacidae. The record is from RefSeq and is a predicted model, not a curated record. The transcript has 2 exons.
UUUUCAUUGAGAAUUGAGUGAAGGGCUUCCACUGACACUUUUUCAUCUGCAUAGAUGCAUUUCUUGUCUCAUUCAUUUUCUCAGUGAUUGCUGCAGUACUUAGGGUGUAAGGGAUCAAUCGUGCGUAAGACCAGCAAAACCAGCAAGCUGAGCAACUGGAUUUUGUUGUAUGAAAAUUUUCAUGCUAAAUUCAUCAAUGCAGAUGGAAUGAGCUGUUUUCUCACUUCCUUGUCUGCUUACAUUAUCUCAUCUCUAACCUCCAUGUGUGCUGUGAGAUUUGUGUAAUAUUUAAGCAUUCUCAGUGGCAAGCUUAAACUGGUGUUUCUAAUACUCAGUGUUUUCUUCAGUCUUCCUCAUUUCCCCCAUUCUACAAUUCAGGAGAUGGUCACAAGGUGUAUUUUUUAUAUAUUUGAGGUGGUUUUGCACAGAAGGGCUGAAUGCAGUGUGUGUUCAGCUGUGGAAACUGAAAAUGAGUUGUAGCAUAGCAGAGUCCAGUGGCUGCAGCUAAAUAGUAAGUGCUUAAAAUACAAUUAAUAAGCAAUCAAACAUGAAGCUGUUUUCUUGACAGGAUGCUGAGUAGUGCUGAGAAAAACUUCGUGAUCCCACAGAAACUGUGGAAAAUAAACAUCCUGGGAGUCGCAUUAAAUAUGUCCUGCUGGUUAAACAGCAACACUCUCUGAUGUCUCUUGAUCCGAGGUCUUGAGGAGCUCUGGUAUUGGACAAAUACUACCCCUAUUUUGCAGAAAGAGAAAGCUGAAGCUCAGAAAUUUGCCUGGGGUCAUGGGCUGGAGGAAUUUGUGGUCUGUGCAUUCAUCUCAAUGAGAGCAGCAGGAUGGAGAGAAUGAGGAAGAAUAGGAAAGC